RNAcentral lists this ribosomal RNA (301 nucleotides) under uncultured bacterium. RNAcentral's name for it is "partial 16S ribosomal RNA". It matches the Rfam family "Bacterial small subunit ribosomal RNA", at positions 509 to 809 of the family's 1533-position model. The record is from RNAcentral.
CAGUAGCCGCGGGAAUACGAAGGGGGCAAGCGUUGUUCGGAAUUAUUGGGCGUAAAGGGUGCGUAGGCGGCCCCGCAAGUCUCAUGUGAAAUCUUCAGGCUCAACUUGAAGUCUGCAUGGGAAACUGCGGGGCUGGAGUAUGGGAGAGGUGAGUGGAAUUCCUGGUGUAGCGGUGAAAUGCGUAGAUAUCAGGAGGAACACCUGUGGCGAAAGCGGCUCACUGGACCAUAACUGACGCUGAGGCACGAAAGCUAGGGGAGCAAACAGGAUUAGAUACCCCUGUAGUCCCUGUCUCUUAUAA